RNAcentral lists this ribosomal RNA (385 nucleotides) under uncultured bacterium. RNAcentral's name for it is "bacterial SSU rRNA". It matches the Rfam family "Bacterial small subunit ribosomal RNA", at positions 30 to 416 of the family's 1533-position model. The record is from RNAcentral.
AUUGAACGCUGGCGGCAUGCUUUACACAUGCAAGUCGAACGGUAACAGGGAGCUUGCUCCGCUGACGAGUGGCGAACGGGUGAGUAAUGCAUCGGAACGUACCGUGUAAUGGGGGAUAACGUAGCGAAAGUUACGCUAAUACCGCAUACGCCCUGAGGGGGAAAGUGGGGGGACCGCAAGGCCUCACGUUAUACGAGCGGCCGAUGUCGGAUUAGCUAGUUGGUGGGGUAAAGGCCUACCAAGGCGACGAUCCGUAGCGGGUCUGAGAGGAUGAUCCGCCACACUGGGACUGAGACACGGCCCAGACUCCUACGGAGGCAGCAGUGGGGAAUUUUGGACAAUGGCGCAAGCCUGAUCCAGCCAUGCCGCGUGAGUGAAGAAGGCC